This 486-nucleotide ribosomal RNA is filed under the name uncultured bacterium. Its description in RNAcentral is "partial 16S ribosomal RNA". It matches the Rfam family "Bacterial small subunit ribosomal RNA", at positions 28 to 507 of the family's 1533-position model. The record is from RNAcentral.
AUUGAACGCUGGCGGCAUGCCUUACACAUGCAAGUCGAACGGCAGCACGGGUGCUUGCACCUGGUGGCGAGUGGCGAACGGGUGAGUAAUACAUCGGAACAUGUCCUGUAGUGGGGGAUAGCCCGGCGAAAGCCGGAUUAAUACCGCAUACGAUCUACGGAUGAAAGCGGGGGACCUUCGGGCCUCGCGCUAUAGGGUUGGCCGAUGGCUGAUUAGCUAGUUGGUGGGGUAAAGGCCUACCAAGGCGACGGGCAGUAGCUGGUCUGAGAGGCCGACGAGGGAAUGUGUGAGGGAGGCACGGAGGAGAGGGCGAGAAGCGGCCGCAGUGGGGAGUGUUGGCCGCAGGGGGGAAUAUUGGUCCAGCAAUGCAAGCUCGAUGAAGAAAGGCUUCGGGUGGUAAGGCGGGUUUGGGGUGGAAGAACGCGUUCAGCAGGGUCCGGUCGGGGGGUGACGGUACCGGAAGAAUAAGCACCGGCUAACUACGUG